AAAGCUAUUUUCUUAUUUUAAUUUAAUUUUGUGAUUUUGAGAAGUAUCUUUUUAUUAAGUAUUUUAUAGAAAAAUUAAUUUUUGUUAUAUAUUAAUAGUACUGUGAAGGAAAUGUUGAAAUAAUUAAAAAUUUAAUUUUAGAUAAGAAUUCUUGAUUUGUAGUACCUUUUGUAUCAGGGUUGAUUAAAUAUAUAUAAUGUAUAUUUUUUUCUCGAUAUCAGAAGAGCUAAUUUAUUAUAUUAGUUAAUGUUGCAUAAUUAUUAAUAAUAUAUUUUAGAGGAGAAAUUUUAUUCGGUUCUGAUUGUAUCUAGUUUUUUAUGAAAUAAAUUUAAUUUAGCUUAGUUAUUUAAAUUUUAUAUUAAUUUAUUAUUUAUUUAAUUAAAGUAAAAUUGUAGGGGAUAAGCUCUAUAUUUAUUCUAUAAUUUUUUUUUAUUAAAUUUAUGUGGGAUUAAAUACUGUCCAUCUUUUAGUAAGUUUUUUAUAAUUUAUUUUUCUUUAUUUAUAAAUUUUGAUUUUUUUUAGUUUUGUAAUAAAAUAUCUUAAUUAAUUUGUUAUUUUGAGUAAUAAUGAUUAAAUUAGUAUAAUUUUAUGUAAUAUAUUUUAUUACUUUAAUGAUGAAAUAAGGAAUUCAGCAAAUAUAAUUCUCGCCUGUUUAWCAAAAACAUGUCCUUUAGAAUUUAAUUUAAGGUCUGACCUGCCCAGUGAUUAAUUUAACGGCCGCGGUAUAUUGACCGUGCAAAGGUAGCAUAAUCAUUAGUCUUUUAAUAGAGGGCUGGUAUGAAUGGUUUGACGAAGAAUUGACUGUCUCAUUUUAUUUGUUUUAAAAUUUAAUUUUUUAGUUAAAAAGCUAAAAUAUUAUUGGAAGACGAGAAGACCCUAUAGAUCUUUAUAAAUUUUAGGUUAAUUUUCUUGAUAUAAAUUUAUUUAAGCUAAUAUUUAUUUUGUUGGGGUGACAAAAAUAUAUAACAAACUUUUUUAUUUAUAUUACAUUGAUUUAUGAUUAGGAGAUCCAUUAUUAUUGAUUAGUAGAUUAAGUUACCUUAGGGAUAACAGCGUAAUCCUCUUCCAGAGUUCAUAUUUACAAGAGGGCUUGCGACCUCGAUGUUGGAUUAAGAUAAUAGUUAGGUGCAGUUAUUUAACUUAUAGGUCUGUUCGCCUUUAAACU
This 1165-nucleotide ribosomal RNA is filed under the name Brechmorhoga mendax. RNAcentral's name for it is "partial 16S ribosomal RNA". The record is from RNAcentral. Lineage: Eukaryota; Metazoa; Arthropoda; Insecta; Odonata; Libellulidae.